RNAcentral lists this ribosomal RNA (253 nucleotides) under uncultured bacterium. Its description in RNAcentral is "partial 16S ribosomal RNA". It matches the Rfam family "Bacterial small subunit ribosomal RNA", at positions 524 to 775 of the family's 1533-position model. The record is from RNAcentral.
UACGUAGGGGGCGAGCGUUGUCCGGAUUUAUUGGGCGUAAAGAGCUCGUAGGCGGCUUGGCAAGUCGGGUGUGAAACCUCCAGGCUUAACCUGGAGACGCCACUCGACACUGCCAUGGCUAGAGUCCGGUAGGGGACCACGGAAUUCCUGGUGUAGCGGUGAAAUGCGCAGAUAUCAGGAGGAACACCGGUGGCGAAGGCGGUGGUCUGGGCCGGCACAGACGCUGAGGAGCGAAAGCGUGGGUAGCAAACAG